RNAcentral lists this ribosomal RNA (314 nucleotides) under Chaetomium globosum. RNAcentral's name for it is "SSU rRNA". It matches the Rfam family "Eukaryotic small subunit ribosomal RNA", at positions 1140 to 1476 of the family's 1831-position model. The record is from RNAcentral. Lineage: Eukaryota; Fungi; Ascomycota; Sordariomycetes; Sordariales; Chaetomiaceae.
UAACUUAAAGGGAUUGACGGAAGGGCACCACCAGGGGUGGAGCCUGCGGCUUAAUUUGACUCAACACGGGGAAACUCACCAGGUCCAGACACGAUGAGGAUUGACAGAUUGAGAGCUCUUUCUUGAUUUCGUGGGUGGUGGUGCAUGGCCGUUCUUAGUUGGUGGAGUGAUUUGUCUGCUUAAUUGCGAUAACGAACGAGACCUUAACCUGCUAAAUAGCCCGCAUUGCUUUGGCAGUGCGCCGGCUUCUUAGAGGGACUAUCGGCUCAAGCCGAUGGAAGUUUGAGGCAAUAACAGGUCUGUGAUGCAACGAC